Molecule: unclassified non-coding RNA, 386 nt
Filed under: soil metagenome
Description: partial contains 5.8S ribosomal RNA, internal transcribed spacer 2, and large subunit ribosomal RNA
Rfam family: 5.8S ribosomal RNA (bases 1-119)
Source: RNAcentral
GAUGAAGAACGCAGCGAAAUGCGAUAAGUAAUGUGAAUUGCAGAAUUCAGUGAAUCAUCGAAUCUUGAACGCACCUUGCACCCUUUGGUAUUCCGAAGGGUAUGCUCGUUUGAGUGUCAUUGUACUCUCACACUUCUAAUUCCUUUCGGGAUUUGGAGCGGUGGACUUGGGUGUUGCUGCUUUAGUUGUGGCUCACCUCAAAUAAGUUAGUGCAACUCUUGGUUGGACAUAGUACGGCGUGAUAAGUGUCUUCGCCGGCGCCUCUGUAAGGAGGGUGGCCGAUCGGGAGCUCUGUGCUUCAAACCGUCUUCGGACAAUCUUUGACAACUUGACCUCAAAUCGAGUAGGACUACCCGCUGAACUUAAGCAUAUCAAUAAGCGGAGGA